This 425-nucleotide ribosomal RNA is filed under the name uncultured bacterium. RNAcentral describes it as "partial 16S ribosomal RNA". It matches the Rfam family "Bacterial small subunit ribosomal RNA", at positions 354 to 796 of the family's 1533-position model. The record is from RNAcentral.
GUGGGGAAUCUUGCGCAAUGGGCGAAAGCCUGACGCAGCCAUGCCGCGUGAAUGAUGAAGGUCUUAGGAUUGUAAAAUUCUUUCACCGGGGACGAUAAUGACGGUACCCGGAGAAGAAGCCCCGGCUAACUUCGUGUCAGCAGCCGCGGUAAUACGAAGGGGGCUAGCGUUGCUCGGAAUUACUGGGCGUAAAGGGCGCGUAGGCGGACAGUUUAGUCAGAGGUGAAAGCCCAGGGCUCAACCUUGGAAUUGCCUUUGAUACUGGCUGUCUUGAGUUUGGGAGAGGUGAGUGGAACUCCGAGUGUAGAGGUGAAAUUCGUAGAUAUUCGGAAGAACACCAGUGGCGAAGGCGACUCACUGGCCCAAUACUGACGCUGAGGCGCGAAAGCGUGGGGAGCAAACAGGAUUAGAAACCCUAGUAGUCC